GUGUCAGCAGCCGCGGUAACACGUAGGGGCCAAGCGUUGUCCGGAUUUAUUGGGCGUAAAGAGCUCGUAGGCGGUUCGACAAGUCGGGUGUGAAAACUCCGGGCUCAACCCGGAGACGCCACCCGAUACUGUCGUGACUGGAGUCCGGUAGGGGAGUGGGGAAUUCCUGGUGUAGCGGUGAAAUGCGCAGAUAUCAGGAGGAACACCGGUGGCGAAGGCGCCACUCUGGGCCGGUACUGACGCUGAGGAGCGAAAGCGUGGGUAGCAAACAGGAUUAGAUACCCUGGUAGUCCACGCCGUAAACGUUGGGCACUAGGUGUGGGUCGUUAUCAACGCGAUCCGUGCCGUAGCUAACGCAUUAAGUGCCCCGCCUGGGGAGUACGGCCGCAAGGCUAAA
This 397-nucleotide ribosomal RNA is filed under the name uncultured bacterium. RNAcentral's name for it is "bacterial SSU rRNA". It matches the Rfam family "Bacterial small subunit ribosomal RNA", at positions 505 to 898 of the family's 1533-position model. The record is from RNAcentral.